CAGUCGCCGCGGGAAUACGUAGGGUGCGAGCGUUAAUCGGAAUUACUGGGCGUAAAGCGUGCGCAGGCGGUUAUAUAAGACAGAUGUGAAAUCCCCGGGCUCAACCUGGGACCUGCAUUUGUGACUGUAUAGCUAGAGUACGGUAGAGGGGGAUGGAAUUCCGCGUGUAGCAGUGAAAUGCGUAGAUAUGCGGAGGAACACCGAUGGCGAAGGCAAUCCCCUGGACUUGUACUGACGCUCAUGCACGAAAGCGUGGGGAGCAAACAGGAUUAGAUACCCCUGUAGUCCCUGUCUCUUAUAC
This 301-nucleotide ribosomal RNA is filed under the name uncultured bacterium. RNAcentral's name for it is "partial 16S ribosomal RNA". It matches the Rfam family "Bacterial small subunit ribosomal RNA", at positions 509 to 807 of the family's 1533-position model. The record is from RNAcentral.